Molecule: transfer RNA, 75 nt
Filed under: Ignavibacteria bacterium
Lineage: Bacteria; Pseudomonadati; Ignavibacteriota; Ignavibacteria
Description: tRNA-Arg
Rfam family: tRNA
About the family: Transfer RNA (tRNA) molecules are approximately 80 nucleotides in length. Their secondary structure includes four short double-helical elements and three loops (D, anti-codon, and T loops).
Source: RNAcentral
GCGCCCGUAGCUCAAUUUGGACAGAGCGUUGGAUUCCGGUUCCAAAAGUUGGGGGUUCGAGUCCCUUCGGGCGUG